RNA transcript from Sapajus apella (tufted capuchin), 945 nucleotides. It is a transcript of the gene named peroxisomal 2,4-dienoyl-CoA reductase pseudogene, with no coding region annotated. NCBI's taxonomy places the organism in Eukaryota, Metazoa, Chordata, Mammalia, Primates, Cebidae. The record is from RefSeq and is a predicted model, not a curated record. The transcript is spliced from 2 exons.
AGGGUGCACAGCUGGAAACUUCCUGUGCCUUGCCGGCGCCUUGUCCUUCAACGCCUUCAAGACCGUGUUGGACAUAGACACCAGUGGCACCUUCAACGUGUCUCGCGUGCUCUAUGAGAAGUUCCUCCGGGACCACGGAGGGAUGAUUGUGAACAUCACUGCCACCCUGGGACACCGGGGGCAGGUGCUCCAGACGCGAUGACUCGGCACUUGGCUGUGGAGUGGGGUCCCCAGAAUAUCCGUGUCAACAGCCUCGCCCCCGGCCCCAUCAGUGGCACGGAGGGGCUCCGUCGACUGGGUGGCCCCCAGGCCAGCCUGAGCACCAGGGUCGCUGUGAGCCCGCUGCAGACGCUGGGGAACAAGAUGGAGAUUGCCCACUGCGUGCUCUUCCUGGCCAGCCCUCUGGCCUCCUACGUGACGGGGGCCGUGCUGGUGGCUGAUGGCGGGGCGUGGUUGACAUUCCCAAAUGAUGUGAAAGGGCUGGCGGAUUUUGCAUCCUUCUGUGCUAAGCUCUAGGAUUCUUCUGGGCCCUGCUUCCCGCCGCCUUGCACAGCCAGGUGGAGAGCGCCAAUCUGAACCAGCAGUGCCCGCAGCCCAGCCCCUCCUCUGGACAUCCAGCUGUUUCCACCGUCUCCCUCCCUCCCCAUGGCUCCACCUCCGGGGCAGGAGCAGCUGGACAGUGGGCCUCCCUGUGGAGCUGCCACGCAGGUGGUGAGGAUGCCGACGAGAUGCUGGGAGUUCCCCUGCCCCGUGGUCAAGGCUGUCCUGCCUGCCUGGGUUCAGGGCCUGAGGGAGCCACGUGGAACCUGAAACUUGUGUUCUCUUCACUGAAAAUGCUGAGGUGCUCCUGUCUGUGCCCAAGAGCUGGCACGGCCCUCAGGCUGCCCACAGGGUCCACCCCUCUGUUUCUGCACCACCAGUUUGCAUAAAUACACUUCCCUACAA